GCCGGGCACUCUAGUGAAACUGCCUCGGAUAASGAGGAGGGGGGUGGGGAUGACSUCAAGUCCUCRUGGCCUUUAUGUCSRGGGCUACACACGUGCUACAAUGGUCGGUACAAACCGUCGCAAACCCGKGRGGGGGAGCUAAUCGGAAAAAGCCGGCCUCAGUUCGGAUUGGAGUCUGCAACUCKACUCCAUGAAGCUGGAAUCGCUAGUAAUCGCGGAUC
RNAcentral lists this ribosomal RNA (221 nucleotides) under uncultured bacterium. Its description in RNAcentral is "partial 16S ribosomal RNA". It matches the Rfam family "Bacterial small subunit ribosomal RNA", at positions 1130 to 1350 of the family's 1533-position model. The record is from RNAcentral.